GACAGAGGGCCCAAGCGUUAUGCGGAAUCACUGGGCUUAAAGCGUGUGUAGGCGGACUUCUAAGUACCUUGUGAAAUCCCACGGCUCAACCGUGGAACUGCUUGGUAUACUGGUUGUCUUGGGCCAUCUAGGGGCUAGCGGAACAAACGGUGGAGCGGUGAAAUGCGUAGAUAUCGUUUGGAACGCCAAUGGUGAAAACAGCUAGCUGGGGAUGUGCCGACGCUGAGACACGAAAGCCAGGGGAGCGAACGGG
Molecule: ribosomal RNA, 253 nt
Filed under: uncultured bacterium
Lineage: Bacteria
Description: partial 16S ribosomal RNA
Rfam family: Bacterial small subunit ribosomal RNA
Source: RNAcentral